CCCAUAGUACCCGUGGCCACUGGAUAUGGUAUGGGUAAGGGUGUGGGAUAUUUGUCCGACACUCGUACACAAUUUAAACACUCAAAUCCUUUAAUUUGUGAGAAUACAUGAAGAAAAAACUGACAUUUGUUAGUAAGGCAAUAUUUUUAGCCUCUCACAUGAAUUAGAUAUAGAAAUUUCAUAUAUUUUCUGUAUCCUAUUUAAUUUCUACUAUAUUUCUACACAAUUUACAACAUCUCAUCCGAGAGUAUCAUAUAAUAUGCAAUAUAUAUGUGCACAUGACGUGUUCUCGUACCCAUGUCCAAUUUUGGAUAUGUAUCCCAAGAUUUAAAUUUAUGAAGGUCUGACACUUGGAUACACAACCGCACCCGAUACUUGUACCUGAGUCUAUGUAACAGUACGUAUAUGGGGAGCUUGUCUUGGGUUGUUAUUGAGCUUAUUAUAAUACCUAGUUUUUUUUUUUUUUUUUGAUGAUCUAAUACCUAGUUUAAAUUUAAACAUAAAAAAUAAGAAUCUCUUUUGUAGCAAUCAUAUUCCCGGGAAAAAACCAAGAAAAAAAAUAUAAGGUUAAGACUCAAGUAAGAAGUUCAAUAAUUGAAACUAAGAAUGUCAAGUUCAUCUCGAUGAGGGCAAGUUUCCUAUUAUGUAAUGAAAUGUUCAACAACACCUUGAACAGAAAAGUAUUUAUACAUUCAUAUUUAAUUUUAAAUAACUUCUUCUCACUAAAGAUAAAAUUUGAAAUUUGAAGUGCUUGUGUGUUGAUUCUUGGUCAUUUUAAAAACUUAUGCAUUCACAUUUAUAAGCUUUGGUAGAUACAUAUUUAGCCAUGGCCUCUCUAGUGCAAAGCAUGUACACCUCAAUUGUUUGGUGUAUUAGAUUAUGUUCUCCAUGUGAGGCAUGGCCAAUUAAAAGUAUUCAUCAUUCAUUGUUAUCCUAUUUGAGUUCAAACCAACUUUUGGAACUCAAUAUUGUUUUUGAGUUUUUUGUUUUGUUUUAUUGUCUUUAGUGAAUUUUUUUUCUUCAUAUUUUAGUUUUUAAUUUUUUAAUUUUUUUAGAUCUGCCUAAUUUAGAUGCACUUAAAAUUUAAAAUAUUUAUAAAAAAAUCUGAAAAAAGUUGAUUGAAGACAAUUUCAGAUUUUUUUACAAAUAUUUUAUCUUUUAAGUGCAUCUAGAUUAGACGCAUCUAAAAAGUUUAAAAAAAAAAAUACUAGAAUAUGAAAAAAGAUCACCAGAGAGCACCCCUCCGCCCAAAAAAAAUUGAAAAACAAAAAAACUCAAAAGCAAUUCAUAAACUAAACCAAAGAAGGUGAAAGUUUUUCAUUAUGAUUCUUGGUCAUUUUAAAAACUUUGGAGGUUAUCUUUCACAAAAAAUUUUGUACUCUUGUUGGUUGACUCUGUUCCGUGGAUCGAGCUAUAUGUACAGGAAAAUGUGAUUCAUCUCAAAGACUAAAAUACAAAGAAGUGUAGAAAGUACAUAGAAUGAAUUUCUGUGAUCAAGCCAUAUGUACAAAGAAUGUGAUUCCUCUCCAGCUAUACAAAUAAUGCUAUUCUAUAGGUCAAGCUAUUUAGUGUAGGAAACAGAAUGUGAUUCCUCUCACAGAAGCUGUUAUAUAAUAAAAAUUAAACUACGUUCACCAGGUAGCGUAUGUGAGGCAUGUAGUAUUAUAUUGCAAAGUGAAAAUUAUUCAUAAACUCCAAUAGUAAUUGUGUAAGAUCUCAUUGCAGCAGCAUUGUACAUAUGAUUAGAGGUUGUUUGCUUCUGCUUUAUUCAGUUGAAGGAAUGAUCUUUCUAUCUCUCCACUGUUAUUUCUAGAACCAUUUGUAGGUUUUUUAUUUUUUAUUUUUUAUGUAGAAGUAUGUGUGCUUACUAAUUAUGGAUUAUAAUAUUUAAAUUAAUAAUGAUCAUGAUGGACUAUUCUAUGCUGGAACAUUUAACAAAUGAUCUUUUGCAAUUGUAUUAGUCACUCAAUUUCUCUUCUCCAGCAAUAUUGUUUUUCCACACUCAAACGGAGAAUAGCUAUGAAACAUGUGGGCCUAGGAGGGAUAUAACAGAUGUACCACAGUUAAUUACUGUACGUUACAAAAGGAAUGCUACCAAAGAUAGUAUUAAAAUUGAGGGAAAAAAAGCCAAAAAAUAUGUUGGAGGCAUUUCUGAAUGACGAUGUGGAUCCUGCAUCACAACUUGUUGUGAGGUACAAUGGUUCUGAAGAAAGUUUAGAGGUUUGGCCUUUGAUUUGUUGUGAGAUGGAUUUUACUACAUGUUUUAAUUAUUGAGAUAUAUUUCACUUUGUAUUGAGCAGUUAACGUAAAUGCAACAUUCUUUAUGGUUUAGUGCACCUUUUCACGUUGAGUUGUUUCUAUUUUAUUUGGCUGGCAAGUCAUCAAGUGGAUCUCUCAAAUAAUCGAAGAUGGUGACUCUAGGGAGCUCCCCUUUUUUAGAACAAAAACUCCUACAGUUGUUCUUGAAGAUGCAGAUCCUAUUUGGUAAGUAGGUGCCAGACCAUUCUUUCCAAAGGGACAGUAAUGAAACAAAGAAUUGGUAGCACCAUGAAUGGAAUUCACAAUCACCUAGGAGAUCUAAGGAUUGGUCCAGUCUUCCUCUUGGAAGCAUUGAUGUCUUUUGGUAGCAUCUGGCAGCGAAGGAGCCAAUCAACUCACCCAAGUCAAUCAAAUAAUCAAACUCAACUGAGCAAAAAAGAUGAUGAAGAUAGACCAAAUCAGAGACACAAGAUAGACCAAAUCAGAGACACAAGAAGAGACACAAGAAGAGAGCGGUGUCAAACCAAGAUCGUCCUCCUUCCAUCACUGACACAGAACCAAAAGAAGCUUACCAGAUGCCACUAUCAGAUUCUGACUCCAAGUAAUAGAUGGUGUUCAAAGGAAUCGAGGUUUGACAUUAGGUAAAUUAAGCACAUGGGGUUUUCGAAGUAAAGAUCAAAGUUUCAUCUCCAUUGUGAUUAUACUGAUUUGCUCACGGGGUGUUAUAAGUAACUAGCAGAUGGCUGCCCAACAUAUAUACAUUGAUCAUUUAGAAAUUAUACCAUGAAUUUUGGGAACCUGUUUGAAUUGAUAGUUUGUCCGUUUUAGUCUCAAUGUGUGACUGAAUCAUAACUUUUGGGAUAAUUUUCGAUUUACUUACAAUUGUGUUACCCUCAGGAGUUGCUUUACGUUUCUUAUCUGGAAAAAGAAGCACUUAUGUGAUUGUAUCACUAAGUUGUAAAAUUUUAGUGAAAAUUUUCUCAUGAAGAUUGAGAUAUGUAAAAUUUUAGAAGGUUAAUUCCCAUUAAGGAAAAUUUUCAACAAGUUUAGAUUAAUAUAUUGUUCAAAUUUAACGGAGUCUUGACGUUAA
This is a non-coding RNA of Camellia sinensis, 3349 nucleotides long. The record is from RefSeq and is a predicted model, not a curated record. Lineage: Eukaryota; Viridiplantae; Streptophyta; Magnoliopsida; Ericales; Theaceae.